Molecule: small nuclear RNA, 41 nt
Filed under: Cervus elaphus hippelaphus
Lineage: Eukaryota; Metazoa; Chordata; Mammalia; Artiodactyla; Cervidae
Source: RNAcentral
UAUUCUGGUUUCUCUUCAGCUCAUAUAAAUCUGUCAUCUUU